AACAAUUGGGAAACAGUUUCUCCACUCCCAAGUGGCUAGAUGUGGCUUCAUCCCUUUCUUCCUCUCCUGGUCUCUCACAGAGCCUCACUCUCUUCCUGGAGGCCUUAGAGGGCACUGAGUCUGUCAUCCCAAGGGAUAAGUUUCUGGACAUCACCAGUGCCGUGUUCUACCAGCUCUAUGACGACAGCAAGCAGCACAGCGAGGCUGAUCGUGCACAGCUGACCCACUGCAUCAUGCUGCAGGCCCGGAUCUGCCCAGAGGAAAU
This is a non-coding RNA of Meleagris gallopavo (turkey), 265 nucleotides long. The record is from RefSeq and is a predicted model, not a curated record. Lineage: Eukaryota; Metazoa; Chordata; Aves; Galliformes; Phasianidae.